This 549-nucleotide ribosomal RNA is filed under the name uncultured fungus. Its description in RNAcentral is "SSU rRNA". It matches the Rfam family "Eukaryotic small subunit ribosomal RNA", at positions 548 to 1098 of the family's 1831-position model. Lineage: Eukaryota; Fungi. The record is from RNAcentral.
UUGGAGGGCAAGUCUGGUGCCAGCAGCCGCGGUAAUUCCAGCUCCAAUAGCGUGUAUUAAAGUUGUUGCAGUUAAAAAGCUCGUAGUUGAAUUUCGGGAUCGACGGGUCGGUCGCGCCUCUGGUGUGUACUGGCCCUGUCGGUUUCUCCCUUCUGACGAACUACGAUGUCAUUAAUUUGGUGUCGUGGGGAAUCAGGACUGUUACUUUGAAAAAAUUAGAGUGUUUAAAGCAAGCAUUCGCUUGAAUGCAUUAGCAUGGAAUAAUGAAAUAGGACGUUUGAUCUUAUUUUGUUGGUUUCUAAGAUCGACGUAAUGAUUAAUAGGGAUAGUUGGGGGCAUUAGUAUUCAAUUGUCAGAGGUGAAAUUCUUGGAUUUAUUGAAGACUAACUACUGCGAAAGCAUUUGCCAAGGAUGUUUUCAUUAAUCAAGAACGAAAGUUAGGGGAUCGAAGACGAUCAGAUACCGUCGUAGUCUUAACCAUAAACUAUGCCGACUAGGGAUCGGAUGAUGUUAAUUUUUUAAUGACUCAUUCGGCGCCUUACGGGAAAC